AUAACUCCGGGAAACUGGAGAUAAUUCCGAAUAGGUCAAAUAUGCUGGAAUGCUUUUUGGCUAAAAGACUUCGGUUGCCUAAGGAUGGAUCUGCGGUCUAUCAGGUAGUAGUGGGUGUGACGUACCUACUAGCCUACGACGGAUAUGGGUUGUGAGAGCAAGAGCCCAGAGAUGGAUUCUGAGACAUGAAUCCAGGCCCUACGGGGCGCAGCAGGCGCGAAAACUUUACAAUGCGGGAAACCGCGAUAAGGGGACACCGAGUGCCAGCAUUUAUGUUGGCUGUCCACAUGUGUAAACGGCAUGUGUUAGCAAGGGCCGGGCAAGACCGGUGCCAGCCGCCGCGGUAACACCGGCGGCCCGAGUGGUAAUCACUUUUAUUGGGUCUAAAGGGUCCGUAGCCGGUUUGAUCAGUUCUUCGGGAAAUCUGACAGCUCAACUGUUAGGCUUCCGGGGAAUACUGUCAGACUUGGGACCGGGAGAGGUAAGAGGUACUACAGGGGUAGGAGUGAAAUCUUGUAAUCCCUGUGGGACCACCAGUGGCGAAGGCGUCUUACCAGAACGGGUCCGACGGUGAGGGACGAAAGCUGGGGGCACGAACCGGACUAGAUACCCGGGUAGUCCCAGCCGUAAACGAUGUUCGCUAGGUGUCAGGGGCGGUGCGACCGCUUCUGGUGCCGUAGGGAAGCCGUGAAGCGAACCACCUGGGAAGUACGGCCGCAAGGCUGAAACUUAAAGGAAUUGGCGGGGGAGCACUACAACGGGUGGAGCCUGCGGUUUAAUUGGAGUCAACGCCGGAAA
RNAcentral lists this ribosomal RNA (798 nucleotides) under uncultured archaeon. RNAcentral describes it as "bacterial SSU rRNA". It matches the Rfam family "Archaeal small subunit ribosomal RNA", at positions 126 to 924 of the family's 1478-position model. The record is from RNAcentral.